GUGCCAGCAGCCGCGGUAAUACGAAGGGGGCUAGCGUUGUUCGGAAUUACUGGGCGUAAAGCGCACGUAGGCGGGUCGUUAAGUCAGGGGUGAAAUCCCGGAGCUCAACUCCGGAACUGCCUUUGAUACUGGCGAUCUAGAGAUCGGAAGAGGUGAGUGGAAUUCCCAGUGUAGAGGUGAAAUUCGUAGAUAUUGGGAAGAACACCAGUGGCGAAGGCGGCUCACUGGUCCGAUACUGACGCUGAGGUGCGAAAGCGUGGGGAGCAAACAGGAUUAGAAACCCGAGUAGUCC
This 292-nucleotide ribosomal RNA is filed under the name uncultured bacterium. Its description in RNAcentral is "partial 16S ribosomal RNA". It matches the Rfam family "Bacterial small subunit ribosomal RNA", at positions 505 to 796 of the family's 1533-position model. The record is from RNAcentral.